This 587-nucleotide ribosomal RNA is filed under the name uncultured marine eukaryote. Its description in RNAcentral is "SSU rRNA". It matches the Rfam family "Eukaryotic small subunit ribosomal RNA", at positions 1 to 598 of the family's 1831-position model. The record is from RNAcentral.
UACCUGGUUGAUCCUGCCAGUAGUCAUAUGCUUGUCUCAAAGAUUAAGCCAUGCAUGUCUAAGUAUAAGCCUUUACACAGUGAAACUGCGAAUGGCUCAUUAAAACAGUUAUCGUCUCCUUGACAGUUCAUACUACAUGGAUACCUAUGGUAAUUCUAGAGCUAAUACAUGCCUAAAGACCCGACUUCGGAAGGGUUGUGCUUAUUAGAUACUACACCAACUGUCUUCGGACAGUUUUGCUGACUCAUAGUACCCAGCGAAUCGCAUGCUUCGGCGGCGAUGUGUCAUCCGAGUUUCUGACCUAUCAGCUUUCGACGGUAGGGUAUUGGCCUACCGUUGCUUUGACGGGUAACGGAGAAUUAGGGUUCGAUUCCGGAGAGGGAGCCUGCGAAACGGCUACCACAUCUAAGGAAGGCAGCAGGCGCGCAAAUUACCCAAUCCUGACUCAGGGAGGUAGUGACAAGAAAUAACAAUACUGGACCUUUCAGGUUUAGUAAUUGGAAUGAGAACAAUUUAAAACCCUUAUCGAGUAUCAAUUGGAGGGCAAGUCUGGUGCCAGCAGCCGCGGUAAUUCCAGCUCCAAUAGC